This is a long non-coding RNA of Pezoporus occidentalis (night parrot), 948 nucleotides long. RefSeq lists it as uncharacterized. The transcript has 4 exons. The record is from RefSeq and is a predicted model, not a curated record. NCBI's taxonomy places the organism in Eukaryota, Metazoa, Chordata, Aves, Psittaciformes, Psittacidae.
GUGGCCCUCGCGUUACUUCAAACCAUCACUGAGAUUGUUUCUGACCGUAGUCAGGCAGGUCCUGCCUCUCCCUGCUCUUCCUGUCUGUGUCCCAGCAUCUGAGAGCAGUCCUGUUUUAGUACUUCUGAGCAUGGUAUUUACAUAGAGGAGGUCCAGCCUAGGGUCCUAUAGACAAGAUGUUGAAGCGCCGAAGAUCAGAGCACCUGAGGGCCAUUGUGGUUCUCACUCCAGGCUAAGAAAUCUGGAUGUUCCAACCUUAUCUGCAGCUGAGCAAGUCUGCAAGAAGAAGACUUAAUUUACCAGAGUCUUAAAACAGACAAACACUGCUGAUCUUUCUUUAUUAUUCUGUCUAUAUUUCACAAUAAAUUAAUUUUAUAAAACUCUGGGUUAAUAAGAACUUUGGAAUUCUGCAGUGUUCACAGAAGCCCUCAACCCCUUCUGAAAAUGAGAGUAAAUUAAACUUAAUGGUUCAUUUAUCCUCAGUAUUAUCCACCCAUUUCAAAUAUGACUUAAUGUGGAGACAAUGGAACUACAACACUAGAACAUCACACGGGAUGCUCCAUGAUCUUUCUCUCAUUUUGCAAGUUGGCUCCCAGGCCCGUGUGCCUCCACCCACAUUUUUGAAGCAGAUCAGAAGUGCUUGGAAGGCCCAGCCUGGGACCAUGGACCAAGGGCUUGCCCUGUUGAGGAAGGUGUAUCGCUGAUGAGAAAAAAAUCCAUCAUUUAUUCAUGCUCAAGUGCAAUUUACUACUGGAUGUGAAAGACUUAUAUACAGUAAUUUAUCUUCAUUAAUUAAACUCUAAAGGGGUUGAUAGGUCAGCAAGGCCCUGCACAGUGAUACAUCCCCAGUAAUAGCCAGAAUUUAUUAAUAAUGGAGUAAAGCUGAAGCAGAAUAGCCACAUCCCAUUCUUAUUUACUAGUCUUCCAGUAAAGUUUAAAGUCAGUUAA